Molecule: ribosomal RNA, 433 nt
Filed under: uncultured bacterium
Lineage: Bacteria
Description: partial 16S ribosomal RNA
Rfam family: Bacterial small subunit ribosomal RNA
Source: RNAcentral
AACGAACGCUGGCGGCAGGCCUAACACAUGCAAGUCGAGCGAGGACUUCGGUCCUAGCGGCGGACGGGUGAGUAACGCGUGGGAACGUGCCCUUUGCUUCGGAAUAGCCCUGGGAAACUGGGAGUAAUACCGGAUGAGCCCUUUGGGGGAAAGAUUUAUCGGCGAAGGAUCGGCCCGCGUUGGAUUAGGUAGUUGGUGGGGUAAUGGCCUACCAAGCCGACGAUCCAUAGCUGGUUUGAGAGGAUGAUCAGCCACACUGGGACUGAGACACGGCCCAGACUCCUACGGGAGGCAGCAGUGGGGAAUCUUAGACAAUGGGGGAAACCCUGAUCUAGCCAUGCCGCGUGAGCGAUGAAGGCCUUAGGGUUGUAAAGCUCUUUCAGCUGGGAAGAUAAUGACGGUACCAGCAGAAGAAGCCCCGGCUAACCCCGUG